UACAGAGGGUGCGAGCGUUAAUCGGAAUUACUGGGCGUAAAGGGCGCGUAGGCGGUGUGUCAAGUCAGGCGUGAAAGCCCCGGGCUCAACCUGGGAACCGCGCUUGAGACUGGCACGCUCGAGUUCGGGAGAGGAUGGUGGAAUUCCCAGUGUAGAGGUGAAAUUCGUAGAUAUUGGGAAGAACACCGAUGGCGAAGGCAGCCAUCUGGACCGACACUGACGCUGAGGCGCGAAAGCGUGGGGAGCAAACAGG
RNAcentral lists this ribosomal RNA (253 nucleotides) under uncultured bacterium. Its description in RNAcentral is "partial 16S ribosomal RNA". It matches the Rfam family "Bacterial small subunit ribosomal RNA", at positions 524 to 776 of the family's 1533-position model. The record is from RNAcentral.